GAAAGAGUUUUGUGGAAGGGCAAAUAGAUUUGGGAUCUCCAGGUGUACAUGCCUCAGGAUUGCCUUUCCUCCCGCCCUUCCCUUUUCCUGCAAAAUCCAGCCGUGGGAACUUCUCAAGUAGUUUGGAAAACGCAGCACUGAAAAUUAUACUUGGCGAGUACGGCACUGGGAGGACAAGAAAUAGAACAUUUCUUUCUUUUCUUAAAUCUACCUUAGGCCUGCCUCCUCGUUCCUGGGACUCCCUGUACCACCGGCACCCCAAGAUGAAGAAGGUUUUGGAGGACAAAGCCUCAAAGCCCAGACCUGAUUCUGAACCUUCCCGGGCCCUGGCAGACACCGUUAGCUGUUCCUGACUUCGAAUGGACAAAGUAGCUGAUGCCAAAGAAACAAGGGAGUUUGCAGCAGGACUUAGAAGCGAGUCACUUACAGCGGAGGUAAUGAGGAUAUAACAUGUCAAUAUUGCACAUACAUAGCCAAAUAUGACAGCGCUAAAUAAUUCAGAGAGAAAGCUGACAGCUC
This 519-nucleotide long non-coding RNA is filed under the name Mustela putorius furo (domestic ferret). RNAcentral describes it as "lncRNA (ENSMPUG00000027728.1)". Lineage: Eukaryota; Metazoa; Chordata; Mammalia; Carnivora; Mustelidae. The record is from RNAcentral.